Oncorhynchus nerka (sockeye salmon) is the source of this 1090-nucleotide non-coding RNA. The record is from the annotation of a RefSeq genome assembly. NCBI's taxonomy places the organism in Eukaryota, Metazoa, Chordata, Actinopteri, Salmoniformes, Salmonidae.
GUGAUAUUACGCCGUACAAAAACCCUUUGUUCCUGUAUGGACACAUCAACACUGAACAGGUCAAAUUAACACCCCCCAGGACAAUGGUGGUAACCCUGAUGAAACCUCACCAUAAACAGGAUUUUGGCCAUACUGUUGGGUUUUAUACUACAACAUGAAUCCAUAAACUUGCAAACAACUGUCACAAAUUGACAAUGGAUACACCUUUUGUCAGAAACAAAAAUCACAAACAUUGAAGAGUAAUCCACCAACUCAUAGAGAAUAUCAUUCUGUAAGAUUCUUUAGCUUCUUCUACCUCAGAGCAGAGUCAUAUGGAAUCCCUAUGGAGAUGUGAAGGGGGUGUUUUUGUGCUGGGGUAUAUCACUGUGAUAUGGGCUGGGGGGCACUGUGAAAUGAGGCUGUACAAAAACCUCAGAGACAAAACCUGCAUUAUAUCUGCAUGAUGAUUGGGACAAUAUUCUUCAAAUGAAAAAGGUAUUCAAACUGAAUUCACAACAUCUGUCCUUAUGGAAUCAGGUGUAUGAUAGUAUUACAAUAUUGCAUUUAUAUUAAUAUUUAUUGGAUUCAUUAUCAUGACUUUAAAGCAACCUAUUUAGGUGCAGGGUUUUUGUACAGGCAAUGAAUGGAGACAGAGCAUUGUGAUGCUUUUGACUACUGGGGUAAAGGGACACAAGUCACCGUCUCAACAGAGAACAUCCUACUGACUGAGCCUGAGGCGGGCUUCGCUCUGAGCUGCACGGACAACUUUGAGGAUGAGUUCAGCAGCCUGUGGUCCACCACCUCCUCCUUUAUCAUCCUCUUCCUUCUCUCCCUCACCUACAGCACAGUACUCAGCCUGGUCAAGAUGAAGCAGUGAAGAACACAUGAUGGACUGCAGAGAUAGAUGUGUCUAGAUUAGAAAGAUAAUGGUCUGGGAUGGUUAUGGAGUAGUGUUCUUCAGUAAUAAUGUUAUGUAUAUAUCCUAUACAUUAUUGAUUUUGAUUGAUUAGUAUUGUUGUUCUCAAUAUUAUACAAGCAUUGUAGUGAUGUGUUAUUUUUCAUUUGUUCAUUUCUAUUGUACAGUAUCUUUAAAUAUAAGAGUAUCCUGUGA